This 423-nucleotide long non-coding RNA is filed under the name Mytilus galloprovincialis (Mediterranean mussel). Lineage: Eukaryota; Metazoa; Mollusca; Bivalvia; Mytilida; Mytilidae. The record is from RNAcentral.
GGCGGGGGGGGGGGGGAAGGGGCAUUAUUCUCUAUUCUGUAAACCUCAUUCACAACCUCAUAUAUCUUGGGUUAUUUCAAAUAAAUAUCUGGUAUUCAAGCGCCUAUUAAUGGGAUAGGAUGCUUAAUACUAUAAGAGUAUCCACAAGUAGAGUUUUGGUGGUCUCUUUUAAAAGUCGGUGCAUGAGAAUAUUAUGCUACAACCAACCAACAAAAAGGGUUGCCUACUAAGUAUAUAAAAGCUAACGAAUAUGCAAAGCAUGUAAUUUUUACGACGCAUGAGUUGGGUGUUAAAGGGGUUCCCAACCGUGAAUAUUAAAUAAUAUAUACGGAUUUGAUUGGCCAAUAAAUGUUUUAACACACGACGCCAUCAAUUUACGUAAAUAUUUGGGAAAUAUACAGACGAUAUUUCGCAAUCCACGGC